Molecule: long non-coding RNA, 1882 nt
Filed under: Homo sapiens (human)
Lineage: Eukaryota; Metazoa; Chordata; Mammalia; Primates; Hominidae
Description: non-protein coding lnc-LEPROTL1-12:1
Source: RNAcentral
GCUCUUAUAUUUUCAAGGCUAUUGUCUAGGGAAAGGCAGGGUGGAAUAGAGGAAAAAUCCUAAGACCAGGGCUCAGGUCUCUUGGGUCCUCAUCCCAGCUCUGUGGUCUAAUUUUGCCAAACUUCUUGACUUCCCUGGGCUUUAAUUUCCUCAUCUGUACAAAGAGAAGACUGGCUGAGAACAGAGGCAAAAUGGUUGUCACGCUUUGGCAAUCAAACAGCCGUACAUGUUUCAGGUGUUAAGGAAGAUAGAUGCUCUAACACAAAAUUCUGUCUUCUCUUACUCUCUUGAAAAACAAACAAGACAAAACAUUCGCAGAGCUGGAGACAGGAAGAAUGAGCUUGGAAGAUCAGGACCACGUGCUGGUUUCACUACCUCUGGUCACCCCAGCUCAUUCUUCUGCUGAAAAGAGGCAGGAGAACAGUGAGAACAGGGUGGUGGUCCCCAAGGGAAGAAUGAUCAAUGGAGACAGUUUCAUGAUGCCAUUCAUGAAAUUCAUCAGAAUUUCAUGAUGCCCCUUGGGGUGACUAUCAGGGUUUUAAGUUAUUCUUGAGAGUUUCUCGAACGCUUUUCUGUCUUUGUUUUCUAAAAGACUUUGAUGAUGGCAGUGGGAGCUCAGAUUCAUGUUGGAGUUACCAUUCUGGUUUGCCAAGGUAGUGGAGGAAUGUGGAAAGACGUCGCUGCACUUUAGUCCUGUACUUCUGACCUGUACUCAAAGGCCUUUCCCUUCCUACCCUGGGGCAUCUCCCCACACAGGAGCUUCAUGCCAGCUUCCCCUCUGCUGGGGUUGCCAACUCAUGACUCCCUGGGGGAGGCCUCCGCACUAGCCUGCCAGCACCUUCUUCUUUCCUUGAAGGCUUGUGACUCAUAGCUGCUGUGUAACGUGUGGCACCCCCAGACAGGAACACAUCUUGCAAAUUGCAUCGGGGGCUGCUUCUCUGGUCUUCCUUCUGGAUACCAGAUUUGGAGGUGCCAAAUGGAAUUGAAUUCUUUAUAGGUUAGAGAGCAUUUAACUAUACCUGGCAGGGCUCUUUAACUCAGACUUUAGAGUUUUUUUUUCAUAUCUAUACACACACACAGAUAUAUUUCAUAAUAGGCAACAUGACUAAUAUUUGCAGUAUUGUUUUGAUUCUAUCAGUGCAACUGGUUCACUCAUUCCUGAGUGUCUAAACAUCAUUAAGAUUCUAAAGGUUUGCUCUGAAGAACAUACUCAGAAUAAGUUCUGGUAUUUUUCUCUGGACAUGUUGUUUUCCAACUACUUAGAGAAAACAACAAAGUGGGAUAAGACUGGAUAGGCAAAUAGGUUUGAUUUUAUUUGCCAGUGCCAGUUGAUGUAUCAUGGCUUCCUCGUGGCUGUGUUGAAAGGGAUCGUGAGACACUGACUUGGCAGGAAGAGGUGCCUUGGCAGGAAGAAGUGCCUAGUGGAUGAGCAAUGCCUGCUCUGGGCAAGGAGGGGACCAAAUAGCAUGUGUGCCACUUUUAGACCCUCCCUGGACAAUAUCUUUCCAGCCACUGCCUGCCUCAUCCUCCUCCUUGAAACCAGAGGGCAAGGCAUGAUGUUCCACCGAUAGGAUUAUUGUCUAUGAUGGAGGAAAAUCCUAUGAAACUAUGAUUAUUUCAGUGAUAAACCAAACUAGAGAGUAAGUUAUUACAUAAUUCUGGGGACUUGCUGCCACAUCAACAUAUCGGUGGAUUCUGUUGAAAAUGAAGUCAUUGUAGCUUGAAAAUGAAGUCAUUGUAGUGGAGACUAAAAUGAUUUAGUUGGGACUUCCUGACAAUGACAAGAAGGGGAGUAGAGAAGGAAGUGGAGAUGCCAUACAAUUUGCUACACGGUUAUAACUGCACACGCAGCAAGUUACAGAUGACUCUUACAGGAUCCUAA